This is a long non-coding RNA of Aplysia californica (California sea hare), 437 nucleotides long. RefSeq lists it as uncharacterized. The transcript has 4 exons. NCBI's taxonomy places the organism in Eukaryota, Metazoa, Mollusca, Gastropoda, Aplysiida, Aplysiidae. The record is from RefSeq and is a predicted model, not a curated record.
CUUCCGGGAAAACUUUGACUAAGCCCAAACCGUUAAAAGGGUCUGAAUUUGAAUAAGAUCUGUCUUUACUUUUCAAAGGUUGCUUGGAAUCAACAGAAAACCCACUUUGUGAGAAAUGUCUACCGAGGCAGAAGAAACCUCUGUAACUGCUAGUGCUACGACUCUCAUUCGUACCCUGUGGAAUGAUCCUUUUAGAUGGCAACUGGUGAAGAGUUUCUCCCUGUUUGCAGUGGCUGUGCUCUUUGCUCAUGAAAUGGCUGUGGUUAGUUCUUCACCUUAGUGAACAUGUCUACUGCAAGAGGAUCCUGUGUGUGCGAGGUCAAGGAUGUGAAUUAUGUGUCGCCGUCAAGCACCGGAGAUUUCCUCAUGACUCUACACAAUGUGGUGCUUGUGUUACAAAAACUAUAAAUAAAUGUAUUUUUUCCUGUCUCGUUAAA